This 21-nucleotide non-coding RNA is filed under the name Caenorhabditis elegans. Lineage: Eukaryota; Metazoa; Nematoda; Chromadorea; Rhabditida; Rhabditidae. The record is from RNAcentral.
UUAGUCCAGCGUCCCACGAAA